CCCGCAGACCGCCUUAUCGUCGUUCCGAUUUAUCGGAAGGGAGGAAAGUCCGGACACCACAGAGAAGCAUAGCGGGUAACACCCGUCGGCGUUAGUAAUAGCGUAAGGACAAGUGCAACAGAAAGUAUGUACAGGUAAUGCUGUAGUGAAACCAGGUAAACUCUAUGCGGUGAAAUACCAAGUAUAUCAGCAUUUAAGGGCUUCUCGUCCGUUGUUGAAGGGUAGGUAGCUUGAGUCCUGUAGUAAUACAGGAUCUAGAUAAAUGAUAAGGCUCUGAUUUAUCAGAGACAGAAUCCGGCUUAUAGGUCUGCAUUUUUU
RNAcentral lists this RNase P RNA (318 nucleotides) under Flavobacterium collinsii. Its description in RNAcentral is "RNaseP_bact_a". It matches the Rfam family "Bacterial RNase P class A". From Rfam's summary of the family: Ribonuclease P (RNase P) is a ubiquitous endoribonuclease, found in archaea, bacteria and eukarya as well as chloroplasts and mitochondria. Its best characterised activity is the generation of mature 5'-ends of tRNAs by cleaving the 5'-leader elements of precursor-tRNAs. Lineage: Bacteria; Pseudomonadati; Bacteroidota; Flavobacteriia; Flavobacteriales; Flavobacteriaceae. The record is from RNAcentral.